GACGUAGGGCGCGAGCGUUGUCCGGAUUUAUUGGGCGUAAAGAGCUCGUAGGCGGCUUGUCGCGUCGUCCGUGAAAACCUGCAGCUCAACUGCAGGCUUGCGGUCGAUACGGGCAGGCUGGAGUUCGGUAGGGGAGACUGGAAUUCCGGGUGUAGCGGUGGAAUGCGUAGAGAUCCGGAAGAACACCGGUGGCGAAGGCGGCCUGCUGGGUUCUGGCUGACACUGAGGCGCGACAGCGUGGGGAGCAAACAGG
This 253-nucleotide ribosomal RNA is filed under the name uncultured bacterium. RNAcentral describes it as "partial 16S ribosomal RNA". It matches the Rfam family "Bacterial small subunit ribosomal RNA", at positions 524 to 776 of the family's 1533-position model. The record is from RNAcentral.